GCUUGUCUCAAAGAUUAAGCCAUGCAUGUCUCAGUACAAGCCAAAUUAAGGUGAAACCGCGAAAGGCUCAUUAAAUCAGUUAUGGUUCCUUAGAUCGUACCCACAAUUACUUGGAUAACUGUGGUAAUUCUAGAGCUAAUACAUGCAAACAGAGCUCCGACCUGAGACGGAAGGAGUGCUUUUAUUAGAUCAAAACCAAUCGGUGGCGGGCUCGUCAUCGUACAACUUGGUGACUCUGAAUAACUUUACGCUGAUCGCACGGUCAUCGCACCGGCGACGCAUCUUUCAAAUGUCUGCCUUAUCAACUGUCGAUGGUAGGUUCUGCGCCUACCAUGGUCGUAACGGGUAACGGGGAAUCAGGGUUCGAUUCCGGAGAGGGAGCCUGAGAAACGGCUACCACAUCCAAGGAAGGCAGCAGGCGCGCAAAUUACCCACUCCCGGCACGGGGAGGUAGUGACGAAAAAUAACGAUACGGGACUCAUCCGAGGCCCCGUAAUCGGAAUGAGUACACUCUAAACCCUUUAACGAGGAUCAAUUGGAGGGCAAGUCUGGUGCCAGCAGCCGCGGUA
RNAcentral lists this ribosomal RNA (569 nucleotides) under Cryptorhynchinae gen. sp. ARC4840. Its description in RNAcentral is "SSU rRNA". It matches the Rfam family "Eukaryotic small subunit ribosomal RNA", at positions 30 to 581 of the family's 1831-position model. The record is from RNAcentral. Lineage: Eukaryota; Metazoa; Arthropoda; Insecta; Coleoptera; Curculionidae.